This 442-nucleotide ribosomal RNA is filed under the name uncultured Rhodoplanes sp. RNAcentral's name for it is "bacterial SSU rRNA". It matches the Rfam family "Bacterial small subunit ribosomal RNA", at positions 337 to 796 of the family's 1533-position model. Lineage: Bacteria; Pseudomonadati; Pseudomonadota; Alphaproteobacteria; Hyphomicrobiales; Nitrobacteraceae. The record is from RNAcentral.
UCCUACGGGGGGCUGCAGUGGGGAAUAUUGGACAAUGGGCGCAAGCCUGAUCCAGCCAUGCCGCGUGGAUGAUGAAGGCCUUAGGGUUGUAAAGUCCUUUUAACGGGGAAGAUAAUGACGGUACCCGUAGAAUAAGCCCCGGCUAACUUCGUGCCAGCAGCCGCGGUAAUACGAAGGGGGCUAGCGUUGCUCGGAAUCACUGGGCGUAAAGCGCACGUAGGCGGCUUUCUAAGUCAGGGGUGAAAUCCUGGAGCUCAACUCCAGAACUGCCUUUGAUACUGGGAAGCUUGAGUUCGGGAGAGGUGAGUGGAACUGCGAGUGUAGAGGUGAAAUUCGUAGAUAUUCGCAAGAACACCAGUGGCGAAGGCGGCUCACUGGCCCGAUACUGACGCUGAGGUGCGAAAGCGUGGGGAGCAAACAGGAUUAGAUACCCGAGUAGUCU